Molecule: ribosomal RNA, 1417 nt
Filed under: metagenome
Description: bacterial SSU rRNA
Rfam family: Bacterial small subunit ribosomal RNA
Source: RNAcentral
UGGUGGCGAGUGGCGAACGAGUGAGUAAUGUAUCGGAACGUACCUUUCAGUGGGGGAUAACGUAGCGAAAGUUACGCUAAUACCGCAUAUUCUGUGAGCAGGAAAGCAGGGGAUCGCAAGACCUUGCGCUGAUUGAGCGGCCGAUAUCAGAUUAGCUAGUUGGUGAGGUAAAGGCUCACCAAGGCGACGAUCUGUAGCGGGUCUGAGAGGAUGAUCCGCCACACUGGAACUGAGACACGGUCCAGACUCCUACGGGAGGCAGCAGUGGGGAAUUUUGGACAAUGGGCGCAAGCCUGAUCCAGCCAUGCCGCGUGAGUGAAGAAGGCCUUCGGGUUGUAAAGCUCUUUCAGCCGGGAAGAAAACGCAUGGGUUAAUACCCUGUGUGGAUGACGGUACCGGAAUAAGAAGCACCGGCUAACUACGUGCCAGCAGCCGCGGUAAUACGUAGGGUGCGAGCGUUAAUCGGAAUUACUGGGCGUAAAGCGUGCGCAGGCGGUUUGUUAAGAUAGGCGUGAAAUCCCCGGGCUCAACCUGGGAACUGCGUUUAUGACUGGCAAGCUAGAGUAUGGCAGAGGGGGGUGGAAUUCCACGUGUAGCAGUGAAAUGCGUAGAGAUGUGGAGGAACACCGAUGGCGAAGGCAGCCCCCUGGGCCAAUACUGACGCUCAUGCACGAAAGCGUGGGUAGCAAACAGGAUUAGAUACCCUGGUAGUCCACGCCCUAAACGAUGUCAACUAGGUGUUGGGAGGGUAAAACCUUUUAGUACCGGAGCUAACGCGUGAAGUUGACCGCCUGGGGAGUACGGCCGCAAGGUUAAAACUCAAAGGAAUUGACGGGGACCCGCACAAGCGGUGGAUGAUGUGGAUUAAUUCGAUGCAACGCGAAAAACCCUACCUACCCUUGACAUGUCCGGAAGCCCUUAGAGAUUUGGGUGUGCUCGAAAGAGAGCCGGAACACAGGUGCUGCAUGGCUGUCGUCAGCUCGUGUCGUGAGAUGUUGGGUUAAGUCCCGCAACGAGCGCAACCCUUGUCGUUAAUUGCCAUCAUUUAGUUGGGCACUUUAACGAGACUGCCGGUGACAAACCGGAGGAAGGUGGGGAUGACGUCAAGUCCUCAUGGCCCUUAUGGGUAGGGCUUCACACGUCAUACAAUGGUCGGUACAAAGGGUCGCCAACCCGCGAGGGGGAGCCAAUCCCAGAAAGCCGAUCGUAGUCCGGAUCGUAGGCUGCAACUCGCCUGCGUGAAGUCGGAAUCGCUAGUAAUCGUGGAUCAGCAUGUCACGGUGAAUACGUUCCCGGGUCUUGUACACACCGCCCGUCACACCAUGGGAGCGGGUUCCGCCAGAAGUAGGUAGCCUAACCGCAAGGAGGGCGCUUACCACGGCGGGGUUCGUGACUGGGGUGAAGUCGGAACAAGGUA